Pelmatolapia mariae (spotted tilapia) is the source of this 1211-nucleotide long non-coding RNA. RefSeq lists it as uncharacterized. The record is from RefSeq and is a predicted model, not a curated record. NCBI's taxonomy places the organism in Eukaryota, Metazoa, Chordata, Actinopteri, Cichliformes, Cichlidae. The transcript has 7 exons.
CCCACGAUUUCCAGGGAAUCCAGGCAGACCAGGAACCCCAUCAGGUCCCCUUCCUAUUCCUGGCAAUCCAGGCUGACCCUUUGGUCCAGGGAAACCAGGAGAGCCUGCAGAGAAGAAAAACUACAUCUCAACACUUCCUGAAUCCCCUUCUGCCCGAGGAAACCUGGAUUUCCUGGAAACCCAUUAUCGCCAGAGAUGUGAAAAGGGAAAGACCAUCUCUGAAUCGAGGAGGGGGCCUAAAGUGCCGGGGAAUCCCAUAAUUCCAGAUUCUCCUUUUUGUCCAGAGAAGCCUGGAAGUCCUGGUUCCCCAGAAAAGCCAGGUUCUCCCAGCAGCCCUUUACUCAGAUCAAGGAAACCAGGAACUCCAGGUCGUCCCGGGCGACCAGGUGCACCUGGCUGACCCUUGUCACCUGUUAACCCAGAGAAAGAGUUUGUAACACAAGAUUAUCCGGUGACGUUCUGAAAGAAGCAAAGCACUAUGUUACCUCUGGGUCCAGUAAAGCCAGAAAAGCCGGGUAUUCCAGGGUCUCCGAUGUCUCCUUUCUCUACAAGCUGAGAUGAAAGAGGUCUACCAGGAAGUCCGGCUGGACCAGAGAAGUGGUGUUACACCCCAUACGAGACUCCACGACUGCACUGUGGAGAUGGACAUUUGUGCGCAGCGCAGAUGAGAAAUGAAGGCAGCAGUUCAAGUGUUUGUUCUAAUACACCAACAGCAAGAGGAUGGAGGAAAUGCAAGCCAAGGGUGGCGCGGCUGGGAGGGAGGAGAGAUGGACAACGGGACGAGGGAAAGAGUGUCUCACCUGGGCAGCCUAUAACGAGUGACCCAACACCAACAAAAAAAGGAUGGAGGGAUGAGAGGAUGGAUGGAGAUGAUGAUGGUGGUGGUGGUGUUGGGGAAAAAAGAUGAAAGUGACAAGGAGGAAGAACAGAGACAUGGAAAAAUACAACAAUACAAAAAAAAGAGGGAGAAGACAUUCUCGUGGGAGACGCAGUGUUUGAUAAACAACAACACGAUUCAAACGGGCAACUGUGAUGAUGGAUGACUGUGAGAGAACGAUGAGAACAAAAGAGGAAUGAACCAGGGCUGGUGCAGGGAUGAGAGACCCUUGAUACCAUCAGGGCCAGGUCGACCAGGAAUGCCACCAUCUGGGUCACCUGGAAGCCCAGGAAGGCCAGGAUUACCAGGAAUACCGUCAACUCCGCGUUCUCCU